GGUCAAGUUAUUAAGGGUGCAGGGCGGAUGCCUUGGCACUAGGAGCCGAUGAAGGACGUGAUAAGCUGCGAUAAGCUUCGGGGAGUUGCACGUAAACUUUGAUCCGAAGAUUUCCGAAUGAGGAAACUCACUUAGAGUAAUGUCUAAGUAUCAUUAAGUGAAUACAUAGCUUAAUGAGGGGAACUCAGGGAACUGAAACAUCUAAGUACCUGAAGGAAGAGAAAGAAAUUCGAUUCCGUAAGUAGCGGCGAGCGAACGCGGAUUAGCCCAAACCAAUAAAGUUUUCUUUAUUGGGGUUGCGGACAUAUCAUAACGAAGAGGUAUCGUAAUUGAAGAGGUUUGGAAAGACCCACCACAGAAGGUAAUAGUCCUGUAUGUUAAACGAGAAGACUUUAGAUAUGAUCCAGAGUACCACGGGACACGUGAAACCCUGUGGGAAGCAGGAGGGACCACCCUCCAAGGCUAAAUACUACCUAGUGACCGAUAGCGUAUAGUACCGUGAGGGAAAGGUGAAAAGAACCCCGGGAGGGGAGUGAAAUAGAACCUGAAACCCUGCACUUACAAGCUGUGGAAGCACAUUUCUUGUGUGACCGCGUACUUUUUGUAGAACGGGCCAACGAGUUACGUUAAGUAGCAAGGUUAAGCACUUAAGGUGCGGAGCCGUAGCGAAAGCGAGUUUUAACUGAGCGUUCAGUUACUUGACGUAGACCCGAAACCGGGCGACCUACCCAUGAGCAGGAUGAAGCGAAAGUAAAAUUUCGUGGAGGUCCGAACCCACGAGCGUUGAAAAGCUCGGGGAUGACUUGUGGGUAGCGGUGAAAUUCCAAUCGAGCCCGGAGAUAGCUGGUUCUCCCCGAAAUAGCUUUAGGGCUAGCCUCAAGGUGAGAGAUACGGAGGUAGAGCACUGAAUGUCCUAGGGGGUAUUGCACCUACCGAAGACUAUCAAACUCCGAAUGCCGUCAUCUUAUACUUGGGAGUCAGACUGUGGGUGAUAAGAUUCAUAGUCGAAAGGGCAACAGCCCAGAUCGUCAGCUAAGGUCCCUAAAUGUAAGUUAAGUGGUAAAGGAUGUGGGAUUGCACAGACAACCAGGAUGUUGGCUUAGAAGCAGCCACUCAUUCAAAGAGUGCGUAAUAGCUCACUGGUCGAGUGAUCCUGCGCCGAAGAUUUCCGGGGCUAAAACUUACUACCGAAGCUACGGCAUCAGUAAUGAUGGGUAGGGGAGCUUCCCAUACGGGUUGAAGCAUGACCGUAAGGACAUGUGGACAGUAUGGGAGUGAGAAUGUUGGCAUGAGUAGCGAGAUGUGGGUGAGAAUCCCACAGGCCGUAAACCCAAGGUUUCCAGGGGAAGGUUCGUCCGCCCUGGGUUAGUCGGGACCUAAGCUGAGGCCGAAAGGCGUAGGUGAUGGACAACAGGUUGAUAUUCCUGUACUACCGAUAACCGUUUGAGAGAAGGGAUGACACAGUAGGAUAAGCUAAGCACACUGUUGGUUAUGUGUGCC
RNAcentral lists this ribosomal RNA (1500 nucleotides) under Clostridioides difficile. RNAcentral's name for it is "partial 23S ribosomal RNA". It matches the Rfam family "Bacterial large subunit ribosomal RNA", at positions 1 to 1512 of the family's 2925-position model. The record is from RNAcentral. Lineage: Bacteria; Bacillati; Bacillota; Clostridia; Peptostreptococcales; Peptostreptococcaceae.